Pelodiscus sinensis (Chinese soft-shelled turtle) is the source of this 158-nucleotide non-coding RNA. Lineage: Eukaryota; Metazoa; Chordata; Testudines; Trionychidae. The record is from RefSeq and is a predicted model, not a curated record.
CUCAUGACACUGGCCAGGAGUUCUUCGGGGGCCUCUUCGUCCCCUCCCCAGCCAGCAAUUGCAGCCAAACACCCCUACCAAGUGGACUUGAAGGCAGAAAAGCGUUACGCUUGGUGCGCCUGUGGCCACAGCAAAAAACAGCCUUUCUGCGACGGAUC